Molecule: ribosomal RNA, 598 nt
Filed under: Levilactobacillus brevis
Lineage: Bacteria; Bacillati; Bacillota; Bacilli; Lactobacillales; Lactobacillaceae
Description: bacterial SSU rRNA
Rfam family: Bacterial small subunit ribosomal RNA
Source: RNAcentral
UUCCGUUGAAUGACGUGCUUGCACUGAUUUCAACACAUGAAGCGAGUGGCGAACUGGUGAGUAACACGUGGGAAAUCUGCCCAGAAGCAGGGGAUAACACUUGGAAACAGGUGCUAAUACCGUAUAACAACAAAAUCCGCAUGGAUUUUGUUUGAAAGGUGGCUUCGGCUAUCACUUCUGGAUGAUCCCGCGGCGUAUUAGUUAGUUGGUGAGGUAAAGGCCCACCAAGACGAUGAUACGUAGCCGACCUGAGAGGGUAAUCGGCCACAUUGGGACUGAGACACGGCCCAAACUCCUACGGGAGGCAGCAGUAGGGAAUCUUCCACAAUGGACGAAAGUCUGAUGGAGCAAUGCCGCGUGAGUGAAGAAGGGUUUCGGCUCGUAAAACUCUGUUGUUAAAGAAGAACACCUUUGAGAGUAACUGUUCAAGGGUUGACGGUAUUUAACCAGAAAGCCACGGCUAACUACGUGCCAGCAGCCGCGGUAAUACGUAGGUGGCAAGCGUUGUCCGGAUUUAUUGGGCGUAAAGCGAGCGCAGGCGGUUUUUUAAGUCUGAUGUGAAAGCCUUCGGCUUAACCGGAGAAGUGCAUCGGAAACU